UUCAUCAGGACUUGGUCUUCUGUCGAUGU
RNAcentral lists this non-coding RNA (29 nucleotides) under Rattus norvegicus (Norway rat). The record is from RNAcentral. Lineage: Eukaryota; Metazoa; Chordata; Mammalia; Rodentia; Muridae.